GCCUGCAUACUCAAGAAGUUAAGAGGACAGUCUGCAAAACUGUUAUUCAUAGGUGCAAAUCCUAUUGCAGGCUUA
Molecule: transfer RNA, 75 nt
Filed under: Siphoviridae sp. ctYh54
Lineage: Duplodnaviria; Heunggongvirae; Uroviricota; Caudoviricetes
Description: tRNA-Cys
Rfam family: tRNA
About the family: Transfer RNA (tRNA) molecules are approximately 80 nucleotides in length. Their secondary structure includes four short double-helical elements and three loops (D, anti-codon, and T loops). Further hydrogen bonds mediate the characteristic L-shaped molecular structure. tRNAs have two regions of fundamental functional importance: the anti-codon, which is responsible for specific mRNA codon recognition, and the 3' end, to which the tRNAs corresponding amino acid is attached (by aminoacyl-tRNA synthetases). tRNAs cope with the degeneracy of the genetic code in two manners: having more than one tRNA (with a specific anti-codon) for a particular amino acid; and 'wobble' base-pairing, i.e. permitting non-standard base-pairing at the 3rd anti-codon position.
Source: RNAcentral